UGAAGAGAAUUGAGGGGGCUA
Molecule: microRNA, 21 nt
Filed under: Zea mays
Lineage: Eukaryota; Viridiplantae; Streptophyta; Magnoliopsida; Poales; Poaceae
Description: miRt4b
Source: RNAcentral